UCGGCUCCGGUUCACGUUUGCCGUAUCCCGCGGCAGCGACCCGGCGCC
Non-coding RNA from Streptomyces griseoruber, 48 nucleotides. The record is from Rfam. Lineage: Bacteria; Bacillati; Actinomycetota; Actinomycetes; Kitasatosporales; Streptomycetaceae.